CAGCUUUAUGCCAUUGUGUUGAGAUCCUUUGUGUAUUUCAAGUUGGAUUCUUGAAGGUUGAAGACAGUGUGUCUUCCCCAGACUCUGGGCGGGGGUGGUGGUGGCUUGGUGACGGCCAUCGGGGAUCAGUGAUAUCUAGAACUUCAGUGCGCUUUUUUGUGGCUGGCGGCGAAGAGAAAACUGGGUGUUUAUCUCAUUUCAAAACGGGGCCCUGCGUUUUGGCUCUCUUCCAAGGCUUCUUGACUAUCCUUCGUAAUAUAGGGCAGCAUUAUGGCGCGUGUUUGCCUGCUGGUUGCACGGGCUGCGUUUAGGUGUUGCGUGGGGGCGACCGGCAACGAUGAACGCGCUUGCGCCAUCCAUGUGAUAGGCGGAGCGUCAGCGUGACUCGAACGCAUCUCACCCCUGCCCCGGCUGCCCACUGGCGUGGGAACGCUGGGUGUCACUGUGACGGGACGCACCGGGUGGCGGCCGGCAUAAUGUGAGCUUGUAUGGGGCGACCUGCGAAGCAAGAGUGGCUGGGCGGAGUUCGAGGCAGGCGCCGUGAUCAGGUGACUGAGUCGACGUUGGUGCAACGCGUGUCUACCGCUGCUUCGCACGACGCGGCGGGGGCCUGUGACAGGCCGGGGUAGCGGGGAACUCGACUCAUGUUGUAUUGCAGAAUGAGCAUGCUUAAAGCAAAGAGAGAAGGUGUUGUACAUGGGAGGUUGAAGGGUUUUGACAGCGGCGCUGAAAGCGUGUGUGCUGGAAUGCUUUGCGUGUGAGGUUUCGCGUGCCCUGGGAGCCUGUGGACAGUUCCGGAUACUGCUCCCGCACUGCAAGGGUGAGGAAAAGUGAUUGUCGUAAGAAGAAAAUGUUAGGCUGAAGUGUAGUGCUUGACACGUUUAUCGGGGUACUUACGAAGUUCUAGGCAGAGAGAGUGAUUCGAGUUCAUCGAGGUAGGAUGCCGGCCGAGGCGUAGUCUCGGCAUUUGCUGUGAGGUACCUUUUGACGGGCUACUGGCGAACAGGUGAGCAAGUGCUCAGCUAAUGAGUAUAGCGAGUAACCCUUGCGCAGCGUCUUCCUGGUAUGGAAGCGAAAACUUUUCUAUGUGGGUACUUUUGGCACGUGAGUGAUAUGUGCUUGAGUUUAAUAGCAGCGGAUCGGAACCAAGUACAAAACCCAGGAAGGUGUUCCCCGUAUAGCAAUCACGCGCUACAGCAGCUGCAGCAGCUCUGUCUGCGUUGCGUGAGAAAGACACGCCUACCUAUGGUCUCUCGCGGUCUUUUCUUCUUGAUACAGUAGCUACUUAUUACACACGUUUUGUUCCCUUUUCUUUAUUGCAUCUACCACAG
This 1331-nucleotide unclassified non-coding RNA is filed under the name Leishmania donovani. Its description in RNAcentral is "gene:unknown". The record is from RNAcentral. Lineage: Eukaryota; Euglenozoa; Kinetoplastea; Trypanosomatida; Trypanosomatidae.